AUAAAAUCUAAAUUUUAAGUGAUCUAAAAUGUUCAUGACUAACGAGUAUUUUCACUUGUACGAUUUUUCUGUGAAAUGAGUCUAAGAGUAUAUACAUGUAUAUCAGGAUACUGACUGCAUAGUAAAAUAUUUAUGUACCAUUAGUUGCGACUCAUUUUGGUCUUUUAAGUAAGUUUCCUUCCCCUGCAUUACUUGAUCGCUUUUGUAAAAAAUAAACAGCACAACAACAACAGCACUCGACGUCAGUAUUGUACCAAAAAAUGAAAAAAAUAUUCAAAAAGAAGGCUCAUAAAAUUCAAAUAUUGGACAAGAACUAUAGAAGAUGCAGAGAAAUUAUAAACAGCAGAAAUGAUAGGCAAUUUAAAAUUUGCAGAAGUCAACAAAACCUAAAUGGUGAUCAGACAUCUUGGUUUUCAUGAUCAAUAGGUCAAUACUGAAGAGGAAACUGAAAUUUGAUAUCUAUCUACAUGGUGCGCUAAUUGGAUUAAUGUGAAAUGGAAUGUGUGCUUUCCUGCAAAAAAGAAAUAGGAAAUUUCAUCAUAAUCACAUGAUAAUGGCUAUAAACAAAAUGGAGUUCUAUCAUAGAUGCAGAAAAACACAAUUGUAUAAAUGCAACAACAUA
This is a long non-coding RNA of Mytilus californianus (California mussel), 622 nucleotides long. RefSeq lists it as uncharacterized. The record is from RefSeq and is a predicted model, not a curated record. NCBI's taxonomy places the organism in Eukaryota, Metazoa, Mollusca, Bivalvia, Mytilida, Mytilidae. The transcript has 3 exons.